GGCGGCUGUAGCUCAGCGGUAGGGCAUCUGUUUUGCAUGCAGAAGGUCCCCGGUUCAAUCCCAAUGGCAUCCCCA
Podarcis lilfordi (Lilford's wall lizard) is the source of this 75-nucleotide non-coding RNA. The record is from the annotation of a GenBank genome assembly. NCBI's taxonomy places the organism in Eukaryota, Metazoa, Chordata, Lepidosauria, Squamata, Lacertidae.